RNAcentral lists this ribosomal RNA (481 nucleotides) under uncultured bacterium. RNAcentral's name for it is "bacterial SSU rRNA". It matches the Rfam family "Bacterial small subunit ribosomal RNA", at positions 37 to 507 of the family's 1533-position model. The record is from RNAcentral.
UGGCGGCAAGCCUUACACAUGCAAGUCGAGCGGUAACAUUUCUAGCUUGCUAGAAGAUGACGAGCGGCGGACGGGUGAGUAAAGCAUAGGAAUCUGGCCAAUAGAGGGGGAUAGCCCGGAGAAAUCCGGAUUAAUACCGCAUACACUCUAUGGAGAAAAAGCAGGGGGAUCUUCGGACCUUGCGCUAUUGGAUGAGCCUAUGUCGGAUUAGUUAGUUGGUGGGGUAAAGGCCUACCAAGGCAGCGAUCCGUAGCUGGUCUCAGAGGAUGAUCAGCCACAUCGGGACUGAGACACGGCCCGAACUCCUACGGGAGGCAGCAGUGGGGAAUAUUGCACAAUGGGCGCAAGCCUGAUGCAGCUAUGCCGCGUGUGUGAAGAAGGCCUUAGGGUUGUAAAGCACUUUCAGUAGUGAGGAAAAGUGUUGUGUUAACAGCGCAAUGCUGUGACGUUAGCUACAGAAGAAGGACCGGCAAACUCCGUG